This 104-nucleotide small nuclear RNA is filed under the name Phascolarctos cinereus (koala). The record is from RNAcentral. Lineage: Eukaryota; Metazoa; Chordata; Mammalia; Diprotodontia; Phascolarctidae.
GUACUUACAUUGGCAGCACAUGGACAAAAUUAGAAUGAAACAGAAAAUUAGCUUGGCUCCUGAUCAAAGACAGCACACAAAUUUGUGGAAUGUCCCAUAUUUAA